CCUUGAUGAAAUCAGUGGACAGAGAACUAUGGACACUGAAGGGAAGGUGGACAUGAACGGAUGUGAGCUGGUGGGAAAGCAGCAGCUGUUGGCAGCAAAGGAGGAGGCAAAAUUGGCUGAAGAGGAGACAAGAUGGUACAAGAUAAGACUUGAAGAAUGUCACGGGCAAAUGCGGGAAGCAGAGAUCACUUGGAGACACCAGGUAACCUGCCUUCCUCCUGACACACUGAGUCCUCAGCACCUGAU
Molecule: long non-coding RNA, 246 nt
Organism: Camelus dromedarius (Arabian camel)
Lineage: Eukaryota; Metazoa; Chordata; Mammalia; Artiodactyla; Camelidae
Exons: 3
Source: RefSeq, a predicted model, not a curated record